AGAGGGCAAAAGUCAAAAGACAUCAAGUAAUGACUCAAAAGGGUUCAAUUUCAUAAAAAGGUGAACGUUGACCAGCGCAAAUGUCAACAAAUGCAUGACAAAAAAACAUCAUCCACUUCCUCUCGGUAGACAACCACCCAGAGAAAGUAGAGGGUAGAGAACUCGCAACAAUAACACCACUGAUAAGAUGGGAUGCAGAUGAAACCGAGGGGGAAGCACAAUCCAGUGAGGUGUAAAAAGAUUACAAUCACAGAAAAAAAAAAAAACAGGGAGGGCAAAACAGUGCAGUGGGUGAAUGUCAACUGUUCACACAGUAGUUUGGUGUGAAAACUACAUGUGGCAGUUACGUUGAUGUUUAUGUGCAUUGGAAAAGUGACAAACUUAUUGUAGUGGACAUUUAUUUUUGUGAUGACCCAACAAAGGAGAGAAACACCAAACCCAUGCAGCAUGUACCCAUUUCUGCAGUAACCAUGACCACCACCAGGAGUCCCAUACAACACUAUUAACAUGGGAGAGGGAAAGGGAAAGUUCAAUCAUGGAGUGGAAAGUUGAAAAGCAGUAAAGCACAGAAAAAGCUUGAACAUUUCAUUGAUGUUACUUCAACAUAGGCUUUCGGGUAGAGCAGGUUUUGAGCACCGAGGGGAAGAAAAUGGAGCAAACAAAGCACUUAAUAAUUAUGUGCCAGACAGAAGGAUUGGUAUGAAAAGACAUGGGGCAGGGGGG
Hippocampus comes (tiger tail seahorse) is the source of this 723-nucleotide long non-coding RNA. RefSeq lists it as uncharacterized. Lineage: Eukaryota; Metazoa; Chordata; Actinopteri; Syngnathiformes; Syngnathidae. The transcript is spliced from 2 exons. The record is from RefSeq and is a predicted model, not a curated record.